CCACGGGCGGCAGCAGUGGGGAAUAUUGGACAAUGGGGGCAACCCUGAUCCAGCCAUGCCGCGUGUGUGAAGAAGGCCCUCGGGUUGUAAAGCACUUUCAGUGAGGAAGAACGCCUGGUGGUUAAUACCCAUCAGGAAAGACAUCACUCACAGAAGAAGCACCGGCUAACUCCGUGCCAGCAGCCGCGGUAAUACGGAGGGUGCGAGCGUUAAUCGGAAUUACUGGGCGUAAAGCGCGCGUAGGUGGCUUGAUAAGCCGGUUGUGAAAGCCCCGGGCUCAACCUGGGAACGGCAUCCGGAACUGUCAAGCUAGAGUGCAGGAGAGGAAGGUAGAAUUCCCGGUGUAGCGGUGAAAUGCGUAGAGAUCGGGAGGAAUACCAGUGGCGAAGGCGGCCUUCUGGACUGACACUGACACUGAGGUGCGAAAGCGUGGGUAGCAAACAGGAUUAGAUACCCUGGUAGUC
RNAcentral lists this ribosomal RNA (464 nucleotides) under Vreelandella stevensii. RNAcentral describes it as "partial 16S ribosomal RNA". It matches the Rfam family "Bacterial small subunit ribosomal RNA", at positions 339 to 795 of the family's 1533-position model. Lineage: Bacteria; Pseudomonadati; Pseudomonadota; Gammaproteobacteria; Oceanospirillales; Halomonadaceae. The record is from RNAcentral.